UAUUAAAUAGUUUAUAAAAACAUUAAAUUGCAAAUUUAAAAUUUUAAUUAAGUUAAUUUAAUUU
RNAcentral lists this transfer RNA (64 nucleotides) under Ibalia sp. ZJUH 20220011. Its description in RNAcentral is "tRNA-Cys". Lineage: Eukaryota; Metazoa; Arthropoda; Insecta; Hymenoptera; Ibaliidae. The record is from RNAcentral.